This 460-nucleotide ribosomal RNA is filed under the name uncultured bacterium. Its description in RNAcentral is "partial 16S ribosomal RNA". It matches the Rfam family "Bacterial small subunit ribosomal RNA", at positions 338 to 795 of the family's 1533-position model. The record is from RNAcentral.
CCUACGGGGGGCAGCAGUGAGGAAUAUUGGUCAAUGGACGAGAGUCUGAACCAGCCAAGUAGCGUGAAGGAUGACUGCCCUAUGGGUUGUAAACUUCUUUUAUAUGGGAAUAAAACGUUCCACGUGUGGGAUUUUGUAUGUACCAUAUGAAUAAGGAUCGGCUAACUCCGUGCCAGCAGCCGCGGUAAUAAGGAGGAUCCGAGCGUUAUCCGGAUUUAUUGGGUUUAAAGGGAGCGUAGGUGGAUUGUUAAGUCAGUUGUGAAAGUUUGCGGCUCAACCGUAAAAUUGCAGUUGAAACUGGCAGUCUUGAGUACAGUAGAGGUGGGCGGAAUUCGUGGUGUAGCGGUGAAAUGCUUAGAUAUCACGAAGAACUCCGAUUGCGAAGGCAGUUCACUGGACUGCAACUGACACUGAGGCUCGAAAGUGUGGGUAUCAAACAGGAUUAGAUACCCCGGUAGUC